Molecule: long non-coding RNA, 540 nt
Filed under: Salmo trutta (river trout)
Lineage: Eukaryota; Metazoa; Chordata; Actinopteri; Salmoniformes; Salmonidae
Description: lncRNA (ENSSTUG00000037173.1)
Source: RNAcentral
CUACGUUUAUGUUCAGUUUAUAACAUGCCAGUACUCAUAUCAUCCAUAUUUUUUUAUAGUGAAAAAAACAUCAGUUCUGACUGCAGCUGUAGGAAUCAUAGUGGUUGUUCUGGUUCUCAUCCUCUGUCUCUCUGGACUCAUGUGGUUCAGGAAGAAGGCCUCCAUAUCCACCUCUGACACAAGAGACACAUCAGAGAAUGUACAGGGAGACUCUAGUCCAGUGUAUGACAACAUCUCAAGCAUGGCCAUGACCCCUACUGCAGCACAGACAGCAGCCACAGACGACCAGGAUGAUGUUCACUACGCCAGCGUCCACUUCUCUCACUCCAAAAACCAGGAUGUUCCUCUGUACUCCACCGUCCAACUGCCUCAGCCCCAGAAACAGGAUGAGGAUGUCCAGUACGAUGCUGUGAAAUUCAACUUCCCCAGUGCUGCUACCCGGUGAGCAUAUUCUGCAUUAAUGUCAUUCAUAUGCUGCAGUUUAUUGUAGGAGAUGUCAUCAAUAAGCAAAACAGUUGACCCUUAGUGACCACUAUGAAC